This 1296-nucleotide ribosomal RNA is filed under the name Mordellidae sp. GENSP01. RNAcentral's name for it is "16S ribosomal RNA". The stretch from base 1058 to 1216 matches the Rfam family "Archaeal large subunit ribosomal RNA", at positions 2542 to 2701 of the family's 2987-position model. Lineage: Eukaryota; Metazoa; Arthropoda; Insecta; Coleoptera; Mordellidae. The record is from RNAcentral.
UGUGAAAUUCAAUUUAAUUUGAAAUUUUUAAUUUAUUAAUUUUAUUUUUUAUUUUGUUAUAAAUGAAGUAACAAUUUGUUUUAUUAAUUUUAAUUGGAAUAAUUUUUUUAAUUAUAGUUUAAAGUAUUGUGAGAGAAUAUUUAUUUUUUAAAGAAAAGAAGGUUUAAUUAACUGUACCUUGUGUAUUAGGGUUUAUUUAAUUUAUUAACGUAUGAAAUUUUCCCGAUUUCAAAAGAGCUACUUUUUUAUAAUUUUUAAUGUUGAAGAAUUAUUUUGAAUUAUAAAGUUGAAAUGAAACGUUAUUCGUUUUUGAUGGUAUCUGGUUUCUGAAGAGAUAAAUUUAAUUUAGAAUUGGUUUCUAAUAAUUCUUUUUUAUGAAUUAAUUUGAGGCUACUUUUAAUAUUCAAGGGGAUAAGCUUUUGUUUAAAUUGUUAAAAGUUUAAUUUUAUUUUAAAUUGUAUAGAGUUGGAAGUGCUUAUUUAGUGUUUAACAACUAAGUUUAAUUAUUUAUUAUUUAUAUUUGCUUUAAAUUAUUUAUUUGGAUGAAUUUUUAAAUUUGAUUAGAUUUGUAAUUAUGAUGAAAUUAUUAUAAAAUGUUUUGAUAUUAAAUAUUAAUUUUUAUUUUGAUUAAAGGAAUUCGGCAAAAAUUUUCUUUACCUGUUUAAUAAAAACAUGUCUUUUAGAUUAUAAUUUGAAGUCUAGUCUGCCCACUGAUAAUUUGAAUGGCCGCAGUAUUUUGACUGUGCUAAGGUAGCAUAAUCAUUAGUUAUUUGAUUGAUAGCUGGUAUGAAUGGCUGGAUAAGGGAACAUCUGUCUCUAUUUAAAAAUUUAGAAUUUUAUUUUUGAGUUAAAAAGCUUAAAUUUUUUAAAAAGACGAGAAGACCCUAUAGAGUUUGAUGUAAAUGUAUUUUAAAUUAUUAGGAACUUUGGUGAUUAAUUGUAUUGUUUAUAUUUUGUUGGGGUGAUGCUAAAAUUUGUUUAACUUUUUGUUUAUUUAAACACUAAUGAGUGAUUAAUUGAUCUUGUUAUACAGAUUAAUGGAUUAAAUUACCUUAGGGAUAACAGCGUUAUUUUCUUUGAUAGUUCUUAUUGAAAGGAAAGUUUACGACCUCGAUGUUGAAUUAAAGUUUAUUUUGGGUGUAGAAGCUUUAAUAUUAAGUCUGUUCGACUUUUGAAACUUUACAUGAUUUGAGUUUAAACCGGCGUGAGCCAGGUUGGUUUCUAUCUUUUAAAAAUUAAAUGUUUUAGUACGAAAGGACCAUUCAUUUUGAUUAUAUUAUUAAUUUUGAAUAAAAU